UGUGACUCGCUAGGGUCUGGCUGACGGUCAGCUCCUGCAGGAGGUCUGAGGGAGAAAGGAGAAUGCGGUCAGGCCCCUGUUCCCUUCGCUCUUACUGUGAGGUCAUCUCAGGCUGGCUGUCUUUCCACACCUCUUAAGCAUCUGCAGGGAUGCUGCCCUCCGAUAACUACCGUAAGUGGAGAAUGAAACUACUGCCACUCAAUGAUCAACGCAUGGCUUCUUCCAUCAAGAAAAUCUUAUCUAAAAAAAAGAGCCGUGUUCCAGCUAAACCGGAC
This 275-nucleotide long non-coding RNA is filed under the name Equus caballus (horse). RNAcentral's name for it is "lncRNA (ENSECAG00000053376.1)". The record is from RNAcentral. Lineage: Eukaryota; Metazoa; Chordata; Mammalia; Perissodactyla; Equidae.